GGGGGGAGCGCUGGAUCUUGGGCUGUGUACCUCCGCCCCUUGGGCUCCGGGGCUUGUGCCACUGGAAUCGUGCUCCCAGGGCCACGCAGCCCCCU
Molecule: microRNA precursor, 95 nt
Filed under: Canis lupus familiaris (dog)
Lineage: Eukaryota; Metazoa; Chordata; Mammalia; Carnivora; Canidae
Also listed under: 1 other name
Description: mir-8799 microRNA precursor family
Rfam family: mir-8799 microRNA precursor family
Source: Rfam by way of RNAcentral